Molecule: ribosomal RNA, 1395 nt
Filed under: uncultured bacterium
Lineage: Bacteria
Description: 16S ribosomal RNA
Rfam family: Bacterial small subunit ribosomal RNA
Source: RNAcentral
AGAGGUUGAUUCUGGCUCAGGAUGAACGCUAGCUACAGGCUUAACACAUGCAAGUCGAGGGGCAGCGCAGUGUAGCAAUACAUGGGGCGGCGACCGGCGCACGGGUGCGUGACGCUUAUCCGACCUUCCCGUUACUCUUGGAUAGCCUUCCGAAAGGGAGAUUAAUACAGGAUGGUAUUCAAAUUCCACAUGUUAUUUGAAUUAAAGAUUUAUCGGUAACGGAUGGGGAUGCGUGACAUUAGAUAGUAGGCGGGGUAACGGCCCACCUAGUCCACGAUGUCUAGGGGUUGUGAGAGGAAGGUCCCCCUCACUGGAACUGAGACACGGUCCAGACUCCUACGGGAGGCAGCAGUGGGGAAUGUUGGUCGAUGGUCGGAAGACUGAACCAGCCAAGUAGCGUGAAGGAUGAAGGUUCUAUGGAUUGUAAACUUCUUUUAUACGGGAAUAAAACCACCUACGUGUAGGUGCUUGUAUGUACCGUAUGAAUAAGCAUCGGCUAACUCCGUGCCAGCAGCCGCGGUAAUACGGAGGAUGCGAGCGUUAUCCGGAUUUAUUGGGUUUAAAGGGAGCGUAGACGGGAUGUUAAGUCAGUUGUGAAAGGCUGCGGCUCAACCGCAGCACUGCAGUUGAUACUGGCGUCCUUGAGUGCGGUUGAGGUGUGUGGAAUUCGUGGUGUAGCGGUGAAAUGCUUAGAUAUCACGAAGAACUCCGAUUGCGAAGGCAGCACACUAAGCCGCUACUGACGUUGAGGCUCGAAAGUGUGGGUAUCAAACAGGAUUAGGUACCCUGGUAGUCCGCACAGUAAACGAUGAAUGCUGGUCAUUGGCGACAUAUUGUCAGUGACUGAGGGAAACCAUUAAGCAUUCCACCUGGGGAGUACGCCGGCAACGGUGAAACUCAAAGGAAUUGACGGGGGCCCGCACAAGCGGAGGAACAUGUGGUUUAAUUCGAUGAUACGCGAGGAACCUUACCCGGGCUUGAAAUGUGCAUGACUGUUGGGAGAGAUCCCUUCGUCCUUCGGGCAUGCAUGUAGGUGCUGCAUGGUUGUCGUCAGCUCGUGCCGUGAGGUGUCGGCUUAAGUGCCAUAACGAGCGCAACCCUUGCCGCCAGUUGCCAUCAGGUGAUGCUGGGCACUCUGGCGGGACUGCCAUCGCAAGAUGUGAGGAAGGUGGGGAUGACGUCAAAUCAGCACGGCCCUUACGUCCGGGGCUACACACGUGUUACAAUGGGGGGUACAGAAUGCAGCUGGGCGGCGACGUCCGGCCAAUCACCAAAUCCCCUCUCAGUUCGGACUGGAGUCUGCAACCCGACUCCACGAAGCUGGAUUCGCUAGUAAUCGCGCAUCAGCCAUGGCGCGGUGAAUAAGUUCCCGGGCCUUGCACUCACCGCCCGUCA